RNAcentral lists this long non-coding RNA (4955 nucleotides) under Taeniopygia guttata (zebra finch). RNAcentral describes it as "lncRNA (ENSTGUG00000020369.1)". The record is from RNAcentral. Lineage: Eukaryota; Metazoa; Chordata; Aves; Passeriformes; Estrildidae.
UUUUUUUUUUUUUUUUUUUUUUUUUUUUGCUAGAAACAAACUUCCUAGCUCAGCUGCCCUGUAAAAUGCUUACCCCACUGGCCUGUUGGCACUGGCAAUGGCAUCCUAUUAACUGAAAGAUGACCAGGUAGAGAACUUUUAUCUGCAGAAUGAGGCAGCAGCAGCAGCUCCCUGCCACCUGGCUUCUUCAAGUGCUGUUUUACUGUGUACUCUAUUUUACACAGGAAGAAGAAUAACACAGCAGAGACCUGAGUUCAGUGGGUUUGUAACGUGGUUUCUAUAGUUCUUUAAUAACAUAUAAAAAUACAGGUGAAGGGAGCUUCCUCUGGACAGUGUCAUCUGGAUACAUCUCAGUGAAUGCCUGUCACCCUGUGCUUUCUCCUAGAGGAAACAAUAUCAGACUGGUACUUCCCAGUAAUUUGAGAAUAUAAAAACUUCCUUUUCAAUAGCUGCAAGAGAAAUGUGGGCUACUCAAAAGGGAGAAAGGGUUAAAAGAGAUGUUUCCUGAUCAACUCCCUCCAACCUUCCUUACCCUCAGUUGUGCCAAAUUGGUCUUAUGUGCAUCUUUGUCAAAAGCAGGAAGAAUCUUAUUUUUAUUGUCAUUUGUGUGUUGGUGACAUAACCAAACAAACCAAAGUGUUUGGGAUCAGAAGGAAGAGGAUGACUUUGCAAAGUAUUUUCCUUGUAAGUGUGGCUUGGUUUUCACACAUGAUGGUAGAAAAUACUGGCUGACAGACACAGAGCUGUGACCAGACAAGUGCUGAGAAAGGCACCUUUGGGACAGAUGUUGUGCAAGGUCCUGCAGCUGGUACAACCCCCAGCCCCACGAACUCUGUGCCCUGGAGUGAGAGCCCCAGCCCUGUUCUGGCUGUGCAGGUGUGGGUGAGGAGCUGCCCAGCACCUCAGCCUGCCCUGGGACACACUCUGCCCUUUCCUUGCUGCAGCCUGGGUUCCUCUGGCAAGUAAGAGCUCUGUUCUCUGUUCUUUCUUCAUUUUGUCUUUGUAGAGGGAAGGUUUGCUGAAGGUCCAUCCUGGUGUGUGCUGGUGGAAAAAAGUGUGGAAAAGCCCAGGUGGUGUCUGCUCCAUUGCUGGCAUUUGCAGUACUUGCUGCAGGAACAGGGGCUCCUUGCUUUUCCUCUGCUGGGGCAGGGCUGAGCUCGGGGAAAACAAAGGCUCAGGCAGCAGCGCCAGGCUCAGGCAGCAAACCUGUUUUGUUAAAGUCAAGGUCUCCAUGCUUGAUUAAACCCUCCAGCAGCAGGCUGUGGAGAUCUAAGUGUUUGCCAAGGGCUUUGACACAGGAAGCUCUGGAAGGUCUUUUCUGUGUGGUGGUCCUUUGUGUUAAGCACAAAUUGUUUGUGCUUGGUGACCCUGCACACCAAAAACUGAUGAUGAGCUUGAGCUGAGAGUUUUCCAGCUCUCACACCGUUGGGCGCUGUGCAAGUGCAAAGCAAAAGAAGGGCUUGAUCUCCAGGGAUUGUAAACAUAAAUAAAGGGGUGCUGGAAGGUGAAACAAGGGAAAUUAUUUACCUAAAGGUACAGGAGAGAGCUUCCAGCUUUCUUCAUUUUCCCUUUUACUGUUUAUCCCCAGACUGUGCUGCUUCUUCAGGAGUCAGCCUGGAUGGGCACCUUUGGAGCUGUGUCCACGUAUUAUGCUGGUGAAAGGGUGGCUCUCAUCACUUCUUACACUCUUAGAAAGAGUAUUAAAAAAUGGAAAUGUACUUAGGGUGAGUUUUGGGGUAUCAGAGAAGAGGGAAGUUGGAGAUCAGGGCCCAACUUCUCCACUUGCUGUGCAGUACAAGCUGCAUGCCUUUAGAUUGAGGGGCUGGCAUGGUCUGUCCCAGAUCAGGGAAAAAAACAAUCCCAUCCCCAAAAGGGAGCAAGCACUAACCUAAUAAAGGCACCAGCUGGACGAAGGGAAAACCAUCUCUUUGGAGAAAAAAAAAAACCAAAACCCAACCUCCUUUCUUUAGAAAAAUAAUAUAUUUCAUCCAAAUAAGGUAAAAAUAUUUGAAAUGGGGCAGAAGUGAGCACUAGGCAGCAUCUGUCAGGCCCUUUCUGAAAUGGGGAAGAUUAUUAAAACUCAAUUACAAUUUAUUUCUGUAAAGUGUCUUUCAGGCUAAAAAUCUCCCCGAAUGCUUUGCAAGGACUGCUCAGGGAUUACUUACAGUAUGGAGCCUCCUGAACAACACCCUGUUUUUUUACCAGGCCCCCCUUUUCUGCAUCUGCUGAAGGAAUUCAUCCUUCAGAGUUCUAUUUUGCUUCUUCUAUGUUUGUGCAAGUAAUGAGAGAUGUUUUAUGAUGCUGGCUGCAAGAACAGCCUGAAGAGGAAUAGGAGAGUGACACUGUAUUUUUAUUGGUUUAGGUAGAAUAUUUGCUUUUCUUUGGGACUGUGUCUCCUGUGUGAGGAGGCGAUUGGCUGGGUAGGGCUGAUUCAGAGGAUUGAGAAGUACAACUGGCUUGUUUGUUGCCUAUUUUUCUUUCUCUGGCUGUCACUUUGCUAGGCUGCUUGCCUGUGUCUCAGUCCCUUUGCUUGGCAAAGCUGUUCUGUGCAGCAUCCUGCUCGUGUCCACCUUUCCCCUUCCCUCAUGUCCAUCUCCUCCUGCUCUUUCCUUUCCAACACUUCACAGACUGCUUCCAGCUUUGUACCUCUGCUUCUGGAGCUACUACUGGGGUUUUGUGUGUGCACAGCUAGAGUAACACCUGUCUAAAAUUAAUUUAUUUAACUGAUUUAAUUAAACCAGAGCAAAUUCUGGGCUGGACAUUCUUCCAUCUCUUUGAGCAGAUUUGCUUUACUUAAGCUGUUUCAACUUUGUGCAUGCACCAAAAUGGGUGCUGCUCCUUUCCUGUAUAGACGAAUUAUUCCUCACUUUCUGCCCCCUGCACUGUCACCAGCAGGUUCCAUCUCUGCAGGCCUGCUGCUUACCUGCCUGAUUUUUUUGCAGUAAUAUCAACACUUCAUGCAGCAGGUUUUGGGUGUGAGAUGGAUCUUGGAACUCCCUCUUGCUUCACAGUCUCUUCUGUUUGCUAGAACAAGUCUGGUGCAGCCUCAAAUUGGAAAAUCCCCCAGCUGCAUCUCUUUCUUGCCUCCUUUUCCCCCCCAACUCUAAAAACUGCAGGCAGAACCUGCUAAUCUGUGUGGGGAAAUGGGGAAGUGUGGGGAAUGCCCCUGGCAGUGGGUGUCCCCCCUUGUGCUGCGUGGAGGGGACGUGGAGGGGCUGCAGCCGUGCCAGCCCCUGCACAGAGCUGUGUGAGGGCACAGCAGGGACAUUGGUGCUGGACCUGUGCUUGUGGGUGCCCUUCCCCAGAGGUGACCUGCAGGGACAGCACGUGCCUCUGCAUGAAGGCGCUCGCUUCCCUCCGAGGGCAGAUGGGCUCUGGCCGCACACCAAGUGUCUCCCUUGUGCCCAGUUCAGUGCCACUGCAGAGCUCUGGCGUGCAGGCAGAGCCUGGCCAUGGCCUGGCAUCCCAGGAGGGUCCCUGGGGCUCAGGGCAGGGGCUGCUGGCUGCCACUGCCCUGUGGGGAGGGAGGGAAGGGGGCAGGAACAGCUCUGUCAGCCUGUCAGAUAAAUCUUCAGCUGUUUACUUAAAUCCUCAGUGUUUCUUCAUUUGUUUGUUUAAGAGUUUUCCUGCCAAAAAAGAGCAAAAGGAGGAAGGGAAGCUGCCUCCAUUGGCCACCCUUCCUCAGCUAGGAUGGGCCUGGGGCAGUUCACGGGCGAGAGCAGGACUGGGGCGAGGACACCCUGCCUUGCUCGGGGAAGAUGAAGGGAUCUGCUUCAGCUUGGACCAUGUUCCAUCUCCUGAGCAAUGCCUGACCCUGCGAGGGAAGUGUCUGAGGGACUCCAGUGAGCCCAGCCCUUCACCCAGGGCUGGCAUGAAGAACUUGUCAUCCCUUCCAGCACCUCCUUUACCUACAAAUGCUCACUGCCUUUUUUCCCCUCACAGGGAGGAAUUGGUUUUUGGAAUUGUGCUUUGCAGGUAGUAAUUGCAGGUUUUGUCAGCUUUCAGGUACUGGUGGAAUCUGUUCAUGGCAGCAGAGACCCCAAAGGUGAGGGCUGGAGCCUGAGUGAUGGAUUUCCAUGUGGCUGUCUGACACAGGGGACUCAAAGACUAUUACAGGGAUACACUUGAGGUAUCAAAGUACAAUAGCAGCAGCAACUGCCCCGUUUUUGUCUUGACAUUUAAACAAGUGACCUUGCCUGGUGUCUGCUGCUUCCCAGGGCUCACCAGGUGCAGGGUGGUGGAUGCAGGGCUGUGGGUGCAGGGUUGUGGUGCAAGACUGCACUCUCACCACCUGCAAGGGCUUGGAACAAAUGCAAUAGUGAGACUUUGAUUUGUUCAACUUGCAGCUUCUCCCACAGCUUAGUCAUUCUUUUAUGAAGUCCAGAGUCCCACUGAGAAAAAUCAGGUUCCAGAAAAGCUUUCCAGCAAUGAAUUGUGUUCGUGUCCCCUGUCCCCACCUGGAAACAAGGCCAUUUCAAUAGUCCAUGUGCUGUGGGCAGAGCUCCAGUGAGAACAAACCUCUGGGCUCCAGGGCUGGAUUAGGAGCAUGUUCAGAUAAUGACAUCUGAAAACAGGAUGGCAGGGAGCUGCAGCAGAGCAACGAGGGGGCUUUGAAAGAGAGAGGAGUCUAAUCCUCUCUGCUAAUAAGGAGGCAGCUGCUGCCAGUGCAUCAGGCUUGGCAGGCGCUGCUCGCUGCUCCUGGGUUCUCUGAGGAUGGCAGAGAGGCACAAGGACCACAGAGCUGCUUCCCUGUGCCUGGGGAAGAGCCACAGGGGAAGGGUAAAACAGGAACAUUCUGACGUGCAGGUACUGCACGGUGCCUGUCCUGCCCAGUCAUUCAACCACUCAAGCAAGAAGACAACUUGAUCACUUAAAACUUUGGGUUUUUUUUUUUCCAGUUUUUAUUGAGUGAAAAUGUCAAACCUUGCAUCAGUCAUGCAAAAAAAAAAAAAAAA